UAUGACCUCAAAUCAGGUAGGAC
This 23-nucleotide ribosomal RNA is filed under the name Strobilurus albipilatus. RNAcentral's name for it is "partial large subunit ribosomal RNA". Lineage: Eukaryota; Fungi; Basidiomycota; Agaricomycetes; Agaricales; Physalacriaceae. The record is from RNAcentral.